AGCCCGGUGGGGUAGCGGUCAAGCCUCCCGGCCUCUGGAGCCGGGGACCCCGGUUCGAAUCCGGGCCGGGCUACCA
This 76-nucleotide transfer RNA is filed under the name Candidatus Bathyarchaeota archaeon. Its description in RNAcentral is "tRNA-Gln". It matches the Rfam family "tRNA". From Rfam's summary of the family: Transfer RNA (tRNA) molecules are approximately 80 nucleotides in length. Lineage: Archaea; Thermoproteati; Candidatus Bathyarchaeota. The record is from RNAcentral.